Molecule: long non-coding RNA, 916 nt
Organism: Homo sapiens (human)
Lineage: Eukaryota; Metazoa; Chordata; Mammalia; Primates; Hominidae
Source: Ensembl
GAGGGCACUGAGUGGGUUACUCUUCACAAGCACAGAGCUAAGCCCAGUCCUGGUAGAAAGCACACACAAAGAAGACCCAAGACCAUGAAUAUGCUGACCUAAGUUGGACAGAACUGCUUCAUGGCUUCCUGCUGUUACUCCAUGGGUUUCUGAUCCUGUUCUGUAGGUUUCUGCUGUUACUCUGAGUUCCUGCUAUUACUCUGUGGGUUCCUGCUGUUACUCUGUAGGCUCUGCUAUUACACUAUGGGUUCUGAUGUUACUCUGUGAAUUCCUGCUGUUACUCUGUGGGCUCUGAUGUUACACUGUGGGUCCUGUUUUUACUCUGUGGGUUCUGAUAUUACUCUGUGGACUCUGAUGUUACUCUGUGGGUUCCUGCUAUUUCUCUGUGUGUCCUGCUGUUACUCUCUGGGCUCUUGUGUUACUCUGUGGGUUCCGACAUUACUCUGUGGGCUCUGCUGUUACUCUGUGGGUUCUGACGUUACUUUGUGGGCUCUGCUGUUACUCUGUGGGCUCUGAUGUUACACUGUGGGUUCUGCUGUUACUCUGUGAAUUCCUGCUGUUACUCUGUGGAUCUCUCUGUGGUUACUCUCUGAAUUCCUGCUCUUAUUCUGUGGACUUCUUUUGUUGCUUUGUGAGUUUCUGCAGUUAGUUUACCUCUUUACCAUCCAGCCAGGAAUUCUUUCACUAGGAAUUGUGUGGAUGCUGGCCAAUUGGGCUAAAUUUAAUAUUACUAUGUCCCCUAUUGUGGUGGUGGGGUCUUGGCUUGGCAAUUUCUACUAGUAUUCCAUAUGCAGUUAAUCUUGACACAUCAGUGAAAGAAAAAUAAAAUCUCAGGCCUCCAAACUUACUAUGCCAAAGGGAAAAGUUAAUAUUGGCAACACACACACACACACGCACACACACACACACACACACA